RNAcentral lists this ribosomal RNA (397 nucleotides) under uncultured bacterium. RNAcentral describes it as "partial 16S ribosomal RNA". It matches the Rfam family "Bacterial small subunit ribosomal RNA", at positions 523 to 918 of the family's 1533-position model. The record is from RNAcentral.
AUACGUAGGGGGCGAGCGUUGUCCGGAAUGAUUGGGCGUAAAGGGCGCGUAGGCGGCCCGGUAAGUCUGGAGUGAAAGUCCUGUUUUUAAGAUGGGAAUUGCUUUGGAUACUGUCGGGCUUGAGUGCAGGAGAGGUAAGUGGAAUUCCCAGUGUAGCGGUGAAAUGCGUAGAGAUUGGGAAGAACACCGGUGGCGAAGGCGGCUAUCUGGACAGUAACUGACGCUGAGGCGCGAAAGCGUGGGGAGCAAACAGGAUUAGAUGCCCUGGUAGUCCACGCCGUAAACGAUGAAUACUAGGUGUAGGGGGUAUCGACUCCCUCUGUGCCGCAGUUAACACAAUAAGUAUUCCGCCUGGGGAGUACGGCCGCAAGGUUGAAACUCAAAUGAAUUGACGGGG